Non-coding RNA from Physcomitrium patens, 1467 nucleotides. The record is from RefSeq and is a predicted model, not a curated record. NCBI's taxonomy places the organism in Eukaryota, Viridiplantae, Streptophyta, Bryopsida, Funariales, Funariaceae.
CAUGAACACCCAUUUUAGUUAAGCCCACCUUGAAGUAGCCGGUAGGUCUAGUGAUCAGGCGGUCUCCAGCAUGCCCUCCCUCCCUCCGAAGUAUACCAAAUCCUCCAUCCCCCUAGCGACCUUCCUUCCUGUGUACUGUAGUGGAUUGCAGGUGGAUUGCUAUCGCCAUAUGCUUUAUAGCUGUUGUUGCUGCGCUUGCUCUCUGUGGCUCUUCUCCACACCCACCUUUCUCCCUCGUUUCCAACAUCCUUCCCCUCACUAUUCCUUUGGUUCUAUGAUUGAAUGUGUGUGAACAAAAACAAGUGAAGGUGACGACAUUUUACUGCACUACUCAUGCUCCUCAUCUGGGUGAUGACAACUUGUGGAUUCUCACACUAGACUUCACUCCUUGCAGGAGUAUAGACAGAGGUCUGAUUUUUUAUCAUCAGUGCCCAUCCUACCGAAUACACACCUUUCUGGCAGAUGCUGGAUUUUUAUGGUGCAAAGGUUGUGUGUAUUUAUGCUACCUGAGAGCAGACGUGGAAGUGUGAGAGAAAGAUCAAGAAAUUGAUCUUCUGAGGAUGCAGAAGUCAAGCAAGAGGUUGGAUCGGACGUAUCCGGCUCGGAAAACCAUGAGCAAAUUUAUUCCUGGCUAGCGGAAGUUAGACAUACAAUCAUCUGGAAUUGAAAAAGAGAUUUAUGAAAAAAGAUCUACCUAUCAAUAUGAAAUAUGUGAUGUUUAUCUUGCAACAAGAGGAUUGGCUUGACAUCAACUCGGAAUUCCGCAGUGCCUUCCUCGGCAAAAGACGACGGUUCUUUACAACAAAAUGCAACGGAUAGCUGGCUUAACAGAUGAACCAAUCAGGGCUAUGACCACAGUUGAGCAUAUUUCCGACAGUUUUAUUUAUCAUCAAGUUAUCGAUUAUGCCCCCAUUGAUGAAAGUGAGGAGAAGCGUAUUCUCUUCAACCAGGACUUCCGAAUUUCAAAGCAGAAGUUGGAUGGCAAUUGUAAGGACGCCUUCGUUGCGCGUAUGCCACUUAAUGAUAUCACGAACUCAAUCUACAAAGAAUCUGCAAAAUCAAGGCAAUACUCCAACAAUUGAAGCUGUGUAAUCUAGAUCUAGUACAAGUGCUGUAACUUCAAAUCCUUUGAAAGACGAACGUAUUAGCAACAUAAUAAUAAACUUCUUAGUCCAAAUCAAGCUUUGGAAGCAGUGUUGCCUUGGAAGGUUGAAAUUUCCAAGAAAUUUCCAAGAGUACCUUGGUCAAGAUUUUAGGGCUUGGCAUGCAAAGGAGGAUACAUGAAUUGCCUUUGUAAGAGUAGCUGUUACACAAUCUCUUGGCAUAGACUUUGAACUUUAUUGUUGACAUCUUCCAUAGGCAUUGGAAUACUACCUCAAUAAUUGAUGUUAGAAAUAUGUGAAAUUUCUAUCCUUAAAGUAUUAACAAGCUCAUAAAGAUAUACAAUAAUUGUAAUUCUAUUUUGAC